CAAUAGCGUAUAUUAACGUUGUUGCGGUUAAAAAGCUCGUAGUUGGAUUUAUGCGACACGCGUGCCCGGUCCGGCGAUUUUAUGCCGCGCACUGGGUGCGGUGCGCUUUUGUCGUUUUGCGUGGCGUUUCCGAUUGAUUUUGGUGCGCCAUUUGCGCUUGACGACGUUUACUGUGAACAAAUUGGAGCGCUCAAAGCAGGCCAUUGCCUUGCACACAUUAGCAUGGAAUAACCAUUUAGGACUGGAGUUUUAUUUAUUGGUGUAUAGAACUUAAGUAAUGGUUAAUAGGGACAGUUGGGGGCAUUAAUAUUUAAUUGCUAGAGGUGAAAUUCUUAGAUUUAUGAAAGAUUAACUACUGCGAAAGCAUUUGCCAAGGAUGUUUUCAUUAA
This 389-nucleotide ribosomal RNA is filed under the name uncultured eukaryote. RNAcentral describes it as "partial 18S ribosomal RNA". It matches the Rfam family "Eukaryotic small subunit ribosomal RNA", at positions 592 to 976 of the family's 1831-position model. The record is from RNAcentral.